Molecule: long non-coding RNA, 361 nt
Filed under: Lathyrus oleraceus (garden pea)
Lineage: Eukaryota; Viridiplantae; Streptophyta; Magnoliopsida; Fabales; Fabaceae
Description: Pisum sativum (pea) long non-coding RNA (PSAT_LNC008513)
Source: RNAcentral
AAAACUGUAUGUGCAAGUCUUCCUCUUCAACUCUGGAAUGGCUGCCAUCUCCCAAUGUGAACAGACUCCUGAAUGAACCUGGGAAAUGAUAUGCAUGUACAAGUUAGCUUUUUCUCUUUUUUCUCUUUUUUUUUUUUGCAUUAUCUUUUGAAAAUAAACAUGCUAUGAUGCAAAUGAUGAGACCAUGACUGGUUGGCUGUGUAUCACAAGGCACAGGAUCAGAACUUCGGCAUGAACUCGGCAUCAGAAACCACAGAUCAAGGUCAUCUGGAACCCAUACUUCAGAACCAAGUCACCAACAGGACCCAAGAGUCACCAACAGGACAAAGUCACCAACAGAUCAAGUCACCAACAGUACCUG